This 390-nucleotide long non-coding RNA is filed under the name Oryza brachyantha (malo sina). RNAcentral describes it as "long non-coding RNA (OBRA_LNC000672)". The record is from RNAcentral. Lineage: Eukaryota; Viridiplantae; Streptophyta; Magnoliopsida; Poales; Poaceae.
AAAUUAUAAGCAUAGCUAGUCGCAGACUUUCAUUAGGCAUUCAUAAAUCACAAAAAAUAAUCACAUUUACAAUCAUUUAAACACAAAACAGAAUCACAAGAAACAUCACAACCACGUUCAUCUAGCCAAAGAACAAAAUUACUUCACAUUCACAAUCAUUUGGGCACAAAACAAAAUCAAAAAAAUCAUCACCACUGUCAGAUCUGGCGGUUGGAGCCCGGAUCCGCCCAGAAGCUCCAAAUCCGGCCUACGCAUGCAAGCUUGGGCCAGUGGAGGUGUAGACGGAGGCGCGGUUGGUAGUAGAGGCGGUGGAGCCCACGGGUGGUGGCGUAAGCGGCGGUCGGAGGUGGAGGGCUCCGCCAUCAGGCCGCCACCGCCUCUCCUCCCGUC